GCGGCGUGCCUAAUACAUGCAAGCCGAACGCUUCUUUCCUCCCGAGUGCUUGCACUCAACUGGAAAGAGGAGUGGCGGACGGGUGAGUAACACGUGGGUAACCUACCCAUCAGAGGGGGAUAACACUUGGAAACAGGUGCUAAUACCGCAUAACAGUUUAUGCCGCAUGGCAUAAGAGUGAAAGGCGCUUUCGGGUGUCGCUGAUGGAUGGACCCGCGGUGCAUUAGCCAGUUGGUGAGGUAACGGCUCACCAAGGCCACGAUGCAUAGCCGACCUGAGAGGGUGAUCGGCCACACUGGGACUGAGACACGGCCCAGACUCCUACGGGAGGCAGCAGUAGGGAAUCUUCGGCAAUGGACGAAAGUCUGACCGAGCAACGCCGCGUGAGUGAAGAAGGUUUUCGGAUCGUAAAACUCUGUUGUUAGAGAAGAACAAGGACGUUAGUAACUGAACGUCCCCUGACGGUAUCUAACCAGAAAGCCACGGCUAACUACGUGCCAGCAGCCGCGGUAAUACGUAGGUGGCAAGCGUUGUCCGGAUUUAUUGGGCGUAAAGCGAGCGCAGGCGGUUUCUUAAGUCUGAUGUGAAAGCCCCCGGCUCAACCGGGGAGGGUCAUUGGAAACUGGGAGACUUGAGUGCAGAAGAGGAGAGUGGAAUUCCAUGUGUAGCGGUGAAAUGCGUAGAUAUAUGGAGGAACACCAGUGGCGAAGGCGGCUCUCUGGUCUGUAACUGACGCUGAGGCUCGAAGCGUGGGGAGCAAACA
Molecule: ribosomal RNA, 763 nt
Filed under: uncultured Bacilli bacterium
Lineage: Bacteria; Bacillati; Bacillota; Bacilli
Description: bacterial SSU rRNA
Rfam family: Bacterial small subunit ribosomal RNA
Source: RNAcentral